RNAcentral lists this ribosomal RNA (507 nucleotides) under uncultured bacterium. Its description in RNAcentral is "bacterial SSU rRNA". It matches the Rfam family "Bacterial small subunit ribosomal RNA", at positions 19 to 518 of the family's 1533-position model. The record is from RNAcentral.
AUGGCUCAGAACGAACGCUGGCGGCGCGUUUAAGCAUGCAAGUCGAGCGGCAAGGGCCUUCGGGCCCCUAGAGCGGCGGACGGGUGAGUAACACGUGGACAAUCUGCCCCCGGCCCGGGAUAGCCCAGGGAAACCUGGAUUAAUACCGGAUGAGACGGGACCCGCGAAGGCGGGACCCGGAAAGGCGCUGCGGCGCCGCCGGGGGAUGAGUCUGCGUCCCAUUAGCUAGACGGCGGGGUAACGGCCCACCGUGGCGACGAUGGGUAGCCGGCCUGAGAGGGUGGACGGCCACAUUGGAACUGAGACACGGUCCAGACUCCUACGGGAGGCAGCAGCUAAGAAUCUUCCGCAAUGGGCGAAAGCCUGACGGAGCGACGCCCGCGUGAACGAAGAAGGCCGUGAGGUUGUAAAGUUCUUUUCGGGAGGGGGAACAACCGUGGCAGGGAAUGGCCGCGGGAUGACGUGAAUCCCGGAAUAAGCCCCGGCUAACUACGUGCCAGCCGCAGC